CAAGUCGAGUGGGUUUAGACCCACGGCGAACGGGUGAGUAAUACCUAGGAAUGUCCUUUAAGUUGAGCAUAACCCACCGAAAGGUGGAAUAAUACUCGAUGUGGUCGUAAGACUAAAGUCGCAAGACGCUUAAAGCGCAGCCUGGGCACCAUCAGCUAGUUGGUAAGGUAAUGGCUUACCAAGGCUAUGACGGUUAGGGGCCCCGAGAGGGGAGACCCCCACACUGGAACUGCGACACGGUCCAG
This 245-nucleotide ribosomal RNA is filed under the name uncultured bacterium. RNAcentral's name for it is "partial 16S ribosomal RNA". It matches the Rfam family "Bacterial small subunit ribosomal RNA", at positions 58 to 334 of the family's 1533-position model. The record is from RNAcentral.